GAUGACGCUGGCGGCGUGCCUAAUACAUGCAAGUCGAGCGAGCGGCGGACGGGUGAGUAAUGUCUGGGAUACUGCCUGAUGGAGGGGGAUAACUACUGGAAACGUUAGCUAAUACCGCAUACAAUCAGACUUGCCCACAUGGGAUUAGCUAGUAGGUGGGGUAAUGGCUAACCUAGGCGACGAUCCCUAGCUGGUCUGAGAGGAUGACCAGCCACACUGGAACUGAGACACGGUCCAGACGCCUACGGGAGGCAGCAGUGGGGAAGAUUGCACAAUGGGCGCAAGCCGGAUGCAGCCAGGCGGCGUGUGUGAAGAAGGCCUUCGGGUUGUAAAGCACUGUCAGCGAGGAGGCGUUACUCGCAGAAGAAGCACCGGCUAACUCCGUGCCAGCAGCCGCGGUAAUUC
RNAcentral lists this ribosomal RNA (405 nucleotides) under uncultured bacterium. RNAcentral describes it as "partial 16S ribosomal RNA". It matches the Rfam family "Bacterial small subunit ribosomal RNA", at positions 33 to 526 of the family's 1533-position model. The record is from RNAcentral.